GCUGUGUGGGGUCAGACCUAU
Molecule: microRNA, 21 nt
Filed under: Gadus morhua (Atlantic cod)
Lineage: Eukaryota; Metazoa; Chordata; Actinopteri; Gadiformes; Gadidae
Description: gmo-miR-2188-3p
Source: miRBase by way of RNAcentral